UGGCAUUGGUGUGAGGGUUUGACCGGCUCGAUUAAACCCGGCGGAUACAGUUACCAACAUGCAAGCUGGACCGGCAAAGCACGGACUGUCAUGGCGCGGCGAACGAAGAGAAAUAACGGAACGCACACCAUAGUGGAUAACUCAUGCGAAGCGUAAUGGGUCAAUCAAACAGCCUUUCGGUGGCCUUCAGCCCUUGCACUAUGAGCAACUGAUACGAUUACCAAUGGUGGUAACGCCCUGUGGCGAUUGACCGCACCGGUCUGAGAGGAUUUGACUAUACGACUGGGAUCUGAGAUCACUUGCCCAGACUCCACGGAGGCAGUGGUAGAAUUUUAGACAAUGGGAACCCUGAUCCAGUACCUGCAAGGCGAUGAAGGCUUUCGGUUGUAAAGCACUUUUACGCAGGAAGGAAACGGCACGAUACUGGUCCAGGCACUGACACGUGGCUUGCAUCAGCACCGAGCUAAACUACGUGCCAGCAGCCAUGAGUAUCACGAAGGCAGCGGUUAAUCGAACUAUUGAGCAAAGCAGCAGGUAGUGGAAGGGUUCGAAGAAAGAUAAAAUCGCAGAUGAACUUAAACUGCAUUUUAAUUUGCCGAAGAAUAGGAGUGUGUCAGAGGGAAGUAAAUUCAUGUAGCAGUAAUGCAGAUGCAGGGAAUUACCGAUGGCGAAGCGCAGCCUCCUGGGAUAACACUGACGCUCAUGCACGAAAGCGUGGGAGCAAACAGGAUUAGAUACCCCUGGUAGUCCACGCCCUAAACGAUGUCAACUAGCUGUUGGGGCCUUCGGGCCUUGGUAGCGCAGCUAACGCGUGAAGUUGACCGCCUGGGGAGUACGGUCGCAAGAUUAAAACUCAAAGGAAUUGACGGGGACCCGCACAAGCGGUGAUACGUGGAUUAAUUCCGAUGCAACGCGAAAAACCUUACCUACCCUUGACAUGUCUGGAAUCCCGAAGAGAUUUGGGAGUGCUCGCAAGAGAACCGGAACACAGGUGCUGCAUGGCUGUCGUCAGCUCGUCGAGAUAUUGGGUUAAGUCCCGCAACGAGCGCAACCCUUGUCAUUAGUUGCUACGAAAGGGCACUCCACGAGACUGCCGGUGACAAACCGGAGGAAGGUGGGGAUGACGUCAAGUCCUCAUGGCCCUUAUGGUAAAUACACGUCACACAAUGGUCGGACAGAGGGUCGCCAACCCGCGAGGGGGAGCCAAUCCUUGCGGAAACCCGGAUCGGGGUCUGACUGCAGUCUGCAACUCGACUGCGUGAAGUCGGAAUCGCUAGUAAUCGCGGAUCAGCAUGUCACGGUGAAUACGUUCUGGCCUUAGAAGACACCGCCCGUCACACCAUGGGAGUGGGUUUUACCAGAAGUAGUUAGCCUAACCGCAUGGAGGGCGAUUACCACGGUAGGAUUCAUGACUGGGGUGAAGUCGUAACAAGGUAAC
RNAcentral lists this ribosomal RNA (1438 nucleotides) under uncultured Bordetella sp. Its description in RNAcentral is "partial 16S-23S ribosomal RNA intergenic spacer". It matches the Rfam family "Bacterial small subunit ribosomal RNA". The record is from RNAcentral. Lineage: Bacteria; Pseudomonadati; Pseudomonadota; Betaproteobacteria; Burkholderiales; Alcaligenaceae.